GACCCCCCUGGCAUACAGCUGUAUGUGUCAGUGAAGGUGGUGGUGCUGAAUGGUGUCCGCCUGAACAUGUACAGGUUGUCGGCGAGGCAGUAACUCCUUGGAGGGCUUGCACUCACACCUGUACAAUGCCAUUCCCUCAGAGAUGUGGAGUUAUGCCAUUCCAAGUAAGUAUAAACAGCUUUAAUAUAUAUAAAAAAAAUUGAUUACACAUUAUUGUUCAUAGGCAUAUUAUAUCUCUAUUAUGUCCACUUUGUAAUCAAAAUUAGUUUCUGAUGUACAAUAAUGCAUGAAUGGUCAUGUCUUUCAGGUGUAUCUGAUUGCAUUUGCUGUGCAGUGGAACAGCCGCAUGGAAUCACUCCGGGUUGCUGGUGGUCAUGGCAGGCAGACGUGGUGUAUGGACCCGCGGCAGAUUCAGCGCCUGAAUCAGCAGGCUGAGGUGCUCUUCAGUAAAGAGCAUGUCCUCGAGCCCAACUUUGCCACUCCAAUGCCCUACCCUGCUGUAUACAAGGACCCAGAUGAGGAGGAGCUCCUUGGAGUAGAGUAUGCCAUGUGCCAGUCAACCAGCUUCACUGCAAAGGAUUACUUUGCCCAGCAAGUUGAGGAAGAGCAGUCCUGUGAAGAAGAGGAGACGGCUGAACAAAGUGAGGACAAGCUGGCAGAUGAGGGUGUGGACAUGGGUGCAGAGUCAGAGGAGGAUCCUAUGGACACUGUCAGUGACAAACAUGUAAUCCUCACUCAGUCAGAACAGGUGGAGGAGGAGGACAGUCCUGCUCUGCAGGAUGUGCUGAUGACCCAGAGCCAUCUGCAUCUUCCUGGGCUGGAGGAAGUGGAAGCCUUUGGCCCUGCUCAUUUUAGAACUGGCAGACAACAGUGGCCGUCACCUAGUGCCAGCUGACCUAAGGCUGAAGAUUGGCACUGCUGCUGGUGCUCUGCAAGAGCAUGACAGGUCUGCAGCCAACUUUGUAAAAAAGUAUGAGUCAAGGUGGGGUUACACCCUGUUUGGCAGAUGCUUGGGAGCUGACACACCUGAGACCAGAGCAGCACAGAAGACAAAGUUUUCAGCCCAGGUGACUGAGGAUAGUCGUCUGUUGUACUUCAUUAUUAAAAUGCUGAAAAACCAGCCAUCAGCCAGUCGUCUCACCUUCCCCACUAAAAUCAGGCCAUCCUUAAAAAUAUUUUGGUUUGUAGUAACAGUAAUAAUAAUAAAAAAAGGGCCAUUAGGUCGGUUUAUAUAUAUUUUUUCAAGUUUCAAUGUAAAAAAAAAGUAAAUUUUUGUAAUGGUGAUCACGUUGGUAUGAAUUUAAACAAAUUAGUAUUUCAUGACAUCACUGGGUCUUCAACCCCCACCUUCGGGUGCAUCUUUGCAAACCUCAUUUUCAUGCAGGCUAUAUAGACCACAAACAAAUUUAAAUCUUUGUUAAAAACAUGUUUAUUGCAUGAAUUUCAGAUGAGAAGAAAAUUUUUAGAAAAACAAUAAGCAGAGUAGACUGCCACAAUGCAAAACAUUUACUGCAGGCUUCAACAUGGCUGUGUUUACGAUUAGAAAUGUCAACAACAACAACAACAACGAAUUCGUCGAAUUUAAAAUAAAAAUCCACAUUCGAAUGCGCAUUCGAAUUUUAGGUGUGCAUUAAGGAAACUGCCUUAUGAGCCCCGGUACGUGUUCCAUUCCAUUUCGCCACGCGAACAGCUGUGUCUACACAACUUUCAAAGGUGGAAGAGCUCGACACACAGUAUCUGCUGUCUCAUCUGUCACCUCGUGUACGCGCACCGUCCGAGGUAUUUCAGUGGCGCACGAGAUGCGAUGACGAUAUGUGGCAUUGCAUUAUAAGGUUAUGUUAGCCUAUCCAGUUGAAGCCACUUAAAAAAAAAAAAAAGAGAGAGAGAGAGAGAGAGAGAGUGAUGCCUGUUAAAAAAAAAUUAAAAAAAAUAAAUUUCCUAUUUUUGUUUUCGAAACUUGUGUUGGUUGAUUCGUGCUUGAUUCGUGCAAUAGAUUUUCGUACAUAAAGUGACAGUUGACACGGUCACGUUUUAGACUAGACGGGAGAAGGGAUGGGAGAAGAUCUGGGCACAGUUUUUCCAGAACUUCAUGCCAAGUUAAAGUGGUGUCAAGCUGUUUUAGUGCAUUUUUUAUAUGUAUUAUGGUGCCCGAACCCUUAUGACUUUGAACAUUGAAACAUUUUGAACCGCAAACAUUUGGUUUACUGCAGCCACAGCCAUCAUUACCAAGCGCGAAUCGUUGACUCUGACAGUUAAUGAGACGAAGCGGACGCACCGGCCAUAGACCAACGCUACUUUUGCAUCAUCGAAGGUUAACGCCCCUUUUUGGGGGAAAACAAACGGAUUCCCCUGAUACAGAACUCACUCUAAUUUCUUGAUAGCAAAAAUGGCAGAAACAUACACACUCUUUUUGCCGGCCGAGGACCGUGAGAGGUAUUUAAUGAAGCUACUGGACACAGUGUUUAUAGAGGUUUCCCUUUGAAAUGGUCGAAAACUGGAUUAAUAACCCCACGCAGUGGCCAAAUAUGGAAAUAUCUAACGUUACCAUUAUCUCGUGGAAUCACCAAGUAGCCUACUUUUGUCAUUAACAUGCUCACAGUAUGAUAAACUAGACGAUGAGGCCAUGCCAAGAGGAGUCGGUGGUUUACUUGGAUCAUAUUUCACUUGAUUUAAGCUAUUGACAGUUUUGUUGUAGUUAGAAAUACGAAGCUGCUAGUAGCUACGUGAUUAACGUUAGUUCUCAUUAGGCAUGCUACCUUGGCUGUUAACUGAUUUUAAGUUUCAAAUAUUUGCAGGCUAGGACUAAACAAUAUAAAUAUUAUACAAUAUCUGUUUGUAAUUGUGUCUGACAGGCCUGUACACAUCAGAAACAAUGAAAAACAAAAGGUCCCUGGAGCGAGUUCUGUAUCAGGAAUCCGUUUGUUAACCUUCGAUUACACCAAAGUAGCGUUGGUCUAUAGUGUGACAUCUGUGUAAACAUAGAUGACGUCACAGGUUUUUUUAAUUAAAGAAGAUAGCCUUCGUUUGUAUGAAGGCCUAGGCAAUUUAUAUAUUUACAAUACUUAAAUAUAAUUAAUAGUAUUUUAUUGCUUUUGUAUUAGUUGUUUGAAGAGUUAAAAAAAAUUGGUCGGUCUUAAUGCGGUCUAAAAUUUACAAUCGGCAAGUCGGUCGGACUAAAAGCAAAAAAAAAAAAUUGACAGGGUCGGUCGGGUUAUGGCAAACAAGAAUAUUUUUAAGGAUGGCCUCACCAAUGCAAUCAAGAGCCAGUAUAAAAAGGAUUGUAGACCGAGUCAGAGACAAUCCCAUCCUCAACGGUUUCUCCAUUCCUCUGCCCAAUCUGAAUGCCAAGUCCAUCUCUACAUUCAUGGCACAGGAAGAGAAGAAGGCUAACUACAGGGCAACAGUAAUGCCAAAGGUGAAACCUCACCAAAGAGUGCUGUCAGAAGAACCAAUGUCAGCAGCUCCUACUCUGCCAGAAUCCCUUCCAGCUCCAGAUCGACCUCAGGUUCAGUACCAGAGCUUACGUUAUGUAGCUGGGAAAAGGCAUGAACAGAAGGGGAAGUUUUUCAGUUCUUCAUUUCACAAGUAUGUGACUUUUCUACUUUAUUACAAUAUGUGAACAUAUCUGAAUUUAUCAGCCUAAUGGUUUAAACUUAAACACAACAAACAAUGUGACGUGAUAGUCAUACACAUUAUUUCUCAUGAAUUAUACUCAUCAUUGCAUGUAUGAUUUAUUUUUGCAGGUUAGAUGUGGAAAUGCUUGUGAACCAGCCCAUUCAACCAAAAACCCAUGUGGCCACGUACAUCCCACCCAGAGCAUCAGCAGCACCUGUCCUGGUAGUGGUUCCUGCACAGCCACCGGGACCAUCCAUGAUGCUCUGUGGGGCAUCCAGCAGUCAAGGGUUCAUACCUUUCGCACCGCCUCCUGAGCUGACAUCCAGAUUAAUCAAGCCUCAUAAAUCCAUGAAGCCUUGUGGGCCCUGCCAAGUACCCCAAUGUGGUGGGCAGCAUAAGAGGUACACCCCCUCCAAAGACAAGGCUGCUGAAAGUAGCCAAAAACUAUUUACCUAUUGCCCAGCAACUAAGAAGUCCACCACUUCAGGUUUUGAAGGUGUUGUGUUCAACAGUUUUGAACACUUCAAAAGUGUAGUAGAUGAGGAACUAAAAAAGAAAAAAAUUACAACUACAUACAUCUGCAACUACAUCCCCCAAAUCACAAUAGCAGAUUUCUGGGGUAUGGUUUGGACUUGGUUCAGACCUGGAUUAGACCUAGUUUAGAUCUUACCCUAAUUUGGUCCUGGUUUAGACAUGGUGUGUUCACAGCGUCUUGUUUGUGUUCCCUGUGUAACCACUAGAUGUCCUCCUUCCCCACGGUGUCUGUCACUUCCUGAACCACAUUCCCCACGAUCUCUGUCUCCUCAUUGCACUCAGCUGUCACGGGUCAUUAAUCAUUGCACUCAGCCAAUUCCCCAUUAGCACUGUCAUUUCCUUGUGUAUUUAUACCCUGUCUGUUUUAGUAUGUGUCACUGAGUCCUUGUAGUUUUCACGACUAUUCUAGUCUUGUUCUCGCCCGUGUGUUUAGUGUCUGUUUAUGUUGUUUGGCUACUUUGGUUUUGACCCCUGCAUGGACAAUGAUUUGGAUUACCCCAAUAAAAGACAUACCUGUACUUGGAUCUCUCUCUGUGUUUUCCUGUGUCCUGACACAAGAUCCAGCGGUAUGUCUGUUGAUGUUUCUUCCCCAGCCACCGAGCGGGAGAGAAGGAGUCAGUUUGAGGGAACCCGUCUGGUCGAGAGGAGGUUCAGCAUCGUUCUCCACCAUGGCCCCCCUUCGACCCGGGGCUCGUGUGGGACGGUUGGAGCUGCCGUCUCACCAUUGCGGACGGAGAAGGGAGAGGAAGCGCAUGUCUGCCGAGCCAGCGCCACUGUCCUUGAUGGUCGCAAGCUCAGCGCCACAGCACAAGAUGGCCGCCAGCCCAGAGCCACUGUGCAGAAUGGCCGUCGGCCCAGCGCCGCUGCCCAGGAUGGCCACCAGCCCAGCGCCAUGAGGCAAGAUGGACGCCAGCCCAGCGCCAUAGAACAAAGUGGUCGCCAGCCCAGCGACAUGAUGCAAGGUGGCCGCCAACCCAGCGCCACUGCCCAAGAUGGCCGCUGAAACAUUUUUUGAUUAUUUCUCUAUGCUGUCCAAGAUCCUAGAGAUUCCAAAGACUGUUUACAUCACGUCUGCUGAGCCAGCGCCACAGUACAAGAUGGCCGCCAACCCAGCGCCACUGCACAAGGUGGUCGCCCACCCAGAGCCACUGCACAAGGUGGCUGCUGGCCUGGAGCCACUGCAUAGGAUGGCAGCUAGAGUGGGCUCUCCAGAGUCAAGUCAGGUCCCCGUUG
Molecule: long non-coding RNA, 5382 nt
Organism: Carassius auratus (goldfish)
Lineage: Eukaryota; Metazoa; Chordata; Actinopteri; Cypriniformes; Cyprinidae
Source: Ensembl